RNAcentral lists this ribosomal RNA (274 nucleotides) under uncultured bacterium. RNAcentral describes it as "partial 16S ribosomal RNA". It matches the Rfam family "Bacterial small subunit ribosomal RNA", at positions 523 to 796 of the family's 1533-position model. The record is from RNAcentral.
AUACGGAGGGUGCAAGCGUUAAUCGGAAUUACUGGGCGUAAAGCGCGCGUAGGCGGUUUUGUAAGUCGGAUGUGAAAGCCCAGGGCUCAACCUUGGAAUUGCAUUCGAAACUGCAUGACUAGAGUAUGGGAGAGGGAAGUGGAAUUCCAGGUGUAGCGGUGAAAUGCGUAGAUAUCUGGAGGAACAUCAGUGGCGAAGGCGACUUCCUGGACCAAUACUGACGCUGAGGUGCGAAAGCGUGGGGAGCAAACAGGAUUAGAAACCCUUGUAGUCC